This 253-nucleotide ribosomal RNA is filed under the name uncultured bacterium. RNAcentral describes it as "partial 16S ribosomal RNA". It matches the Rfam family "Bacterial small subunit ribosomal RNA", at positions 524 to 776 of the family's 1533-position model. The record is from RNAcentral.
UACGAAGGGGGCUAGCGUUGCUCGGAAUCACUGGGCGUAAAGCGCACGUAGGCGGCUUGUUAAGUCAGGGGUGAAAUCCUGGAGCUCAACUCCAGAACUGCCUUUGAUACUGGCGAGCUUGAGUUCGGGAGAGGUGAGUGGAACUGCGAGUGUAGAGGUGAAAUUCGUAGAUAUUCGCAAGAACACCAGUGGCGAAGGCGGCUCACUGGCCCGAUACUGACGCUGAGGUGCGAAAGCGUGGGGAGCAAACAGA